RNAcentral lists this ribosomal RNA (403 nucleotides) under bacterium. Its description in RNAcentral is "partial 16S ribosomal RNA". It matches the Rfam family "Bacterial small subunit ribosomal RNA", at positions 355 to 776 of the family's 1533-position model. The record is from RNAcentral. RNAcentral also lists the same sequence under 1 other name.
UGGGGAAUAUUGCACAAUGGGGGAAACCCUGAUGCAGCGACGCCGCGUGAACGAAGAAGGUAUUCGUAUCGUAAAGUUCUGUCCUAUGGGAAGAUAAUGACAGUACCAUAGAAGAAAGCUCCGGCUAAAUACGUGCCAGCAGCCGCGGUAAUACGUAUGGAGCGAGCGUUGUCCGGAAUUAUUGGGCGUAAAGGGUACGCAGGCGGGUUAAUAAGUCGAAUGUUAAAGAUCGGGGCUCAACCCCGUAAAGCAUUGGAAACUGAUAAACUUGAGUAGUGGAGAGGAAAGUGGAAUUCCUAGUGUAGUGGUGAAAUACGUAGAUAUUAGGAGGAAUACCAGUAGCGAAGGCGACUUUCUGGACACAAACUGACGCUGAGGUACGAAAGCGUGGGGAGCAAACAGG